Molecule: ribosomal RNA, 1424 nt
Filed under: Salmonella enterica subsp. enterica serovar Newport
Lineage: Bacteria; Pseudomonadati; Pseudomonadota; Gammaproteobacteria; Enterobacterales; Enterobacteriaceae
Description: partial 23S ribosomal RNA
Rfam family: Bacterial large subunit ribosomal RNA
Source: RNAcentral
UGUUUCGGCUAGGGGGCCAUCCCGGCUUACCAACCCGAUGCAAACUGCGAAUACCGGAGAAUGUUAUCACGGGAGACACACGGCGGGUGCUAACGUCCGUCGUGAAGAGGGAAACAACCCAGACCGCCAGCUAAGGUCCCAAAGUCAUGGUUAAGUGGGAAACGAUGUGGGAAGGCCCAGACAGCCAGGAUGUUGGCUUAGAAGCAGCCAUCAUUUAAAGAAAGCGUAAUAGCUCACUGGUCGAGUCGGCCUGCGCGGAAGAUGUAACGGGGCUAAACCAUGCACCGAAGCUGCGGCAGCGAACGUAUCACUUAAAGCGAUUCAGCGGGUUACGAUUGACGGAGCGAAGCGACGUCAAAGCGUAUACAAAGUCGAGUCGGUUUAAGGAUACGUUCGUUGGGUAGGGGAGCGUUCUGUAAGCCUGUGAAGGUGGCCUGUGAGGGUUGCUGGAGGUAUCAGAAGUGCGAAUGCUGACAUAAGUAACGAUAAAGCGGGUGAAAAGCCCGCUCGCCGGAAGACCAAGGGUUCCUGUCCAACGUUAAUCGGGGCAGGGUGAGUCGACCCCUAAGGCGAGGCCGAAAGGCGUAGUCGAUGGGAAACAGGUUAAUAUUCCUGUACUUGGUGUUACUGCGAAGGGGGGACGGAGAAGGCUAUGUUGGCCGGGCGACGGUUGUCCCGGUUUAAGCGUGUAGGCUGGUUUUCCAGGCAAAUCCGGAAAAUCAAGGCUGAGGCGUGAUGACGAGGCACUACGGUGCUGAAGCAACAAAUGCCCUGCUUCCAGGAAAAGCCUCUAAGCAUCAGGUAACAUCAAAUCGUACCCCAAACCGACACAGGUGGUCAGGUAGAGAAUACCAAGGCGCUUGAGAGAACUCGGGUGAAGGAACUAGGCAAAAUGGUGCCGUAACUUCGGGAGAAGGCACGCUGACACGUAGGUGAAGUGAUUUACUCACGGAGCUGAAGUCAGUCGAAGAUACCAGCUGGCUGCAACUGUUUAUUAAAAACACAGCACUGUGCAAACACGAAAGUGGACGUAUACGGUGUGACGCCUGCCCGGUGCCGGAAGGUUAAUUGAUGGGGUCAGCGCAAGCGAAGCUCCUGAUCGAAGCCCCGGUAAACGGCGGCCGUAACUAUAACGGUCCUAAGGUAGCGAAAUUCCUUGUCGGGUAAGUUCCGACCUGCACGAAUGGCGUAAUGAUGGCCAGGCUGUCUCCACCCGAGACUCAGUGAAAUUGAACUCGCUGUGAAGAUGCAGUGUACCCGCGGCAAGACGGAAAGACCCCGUGAACCUUUACUAUAGCUUGACACUGAACAUUGAGCCUUGAUGUGUAGGAUAGGUGGGAGGCUUUGAAGCGUGGACGCCAGUCUGCGUGGAGCCGACCUUGAAAUACCACCCUUUAAUGUUUGAUGUUCUAACGUGGACCCGU